CAAUAGCGUAUAUUAAAGUUGUUGCGGUUAAAAAGCUCGUAGUUGGAUUUCUGCUGAGGACGAUCGGUCCGCCCACUGGGUGAGUAUCUGGCUCGGCCUUGGCAUCUUCUUGGAGAACGUUGCUGCACUUGACUGUGUGGUGCGGUAUCCAGGACUUUUACUUUGAGGAAAUUAGAGUGUUUCAAGCAGGCGCACGCCUUGAAUACAUUAGCAUGGAAUAAUAAGAUAGGACCUUAGUUCUAUUUUGUUGGUUUCUAGAGCUGAGGUAAUGAUUAAUAGGGAUAGUUGGGGGCAUUCGUAUUUAACUGUCAGAGGUGAAAUUCUUGGAUUCGUUAAAGACGGACUACUGCGAAAGCAUUUGCCAAGGAUGUUUUCAUUGA
RNAcentral lists this ribosomal RNA (380 nucleotides) under uncultured eukaryote. Its description in RNAcentral is "partial 18S ribosomal RNA". It matches the Rfam family "Eukaryotic small subunit ribosomal RNA", at positions 592 to 976 of the family's 1831-position model. The record is from RNAcentral.